GUGGGGAAUAUUGGACAAUGGGGGGAACCCUGAUCCAGCCAUGCCGCGUGUGUGAAGAAGGCCUUUUGGUUGUAAAGCACUUUAAGCGAGGAGGAGGCUACCGAGAUUAAUACUCUUGGAUAGUGGACGUUACUCGCAGAAUAAGCACCGGCUAACUCUGUGCCAGCAGCCGCGGUAAUACAGAGGGUGCAAGCGUUAAUCGGAUUUACUGGGCGUAAAGCGCGCGUAGGUGGCCAAUUAAGUCAAAUGUGAAAUCCCCGAGCUUAACUUGGGAAUUGCAUUCGAUACUGGUUGGCUAGAGUAUGGGAGAGGAUGGUAGAAGGACAGGUGUAGCGGUGAAAAUCGUAGAGAUCUGGAGGAAUACCGAUGGCGAAUGCAGCCAUCUGGCCUAAUACUGACACUGAGGUGCGAAAGCAUGUGGAGCAAACAGGAUUAGAAACCCUUGUAUCC
RNAcentral lists this ribosomal RNA (450 nucleotides) under uncultured bacterium. RNAcentral's name for it is "partial 16S ribosomal RNA". It matches the Rfam family "Bacterial small subunit ribosomal RNA", at positions 354 to 795 of the family's 1533-position model. The record is from RNAcentral.